AAAUUAAAAUGUCAUCAUGGGUCAAGGUUACCAGGUGCCAAGUUCAAAAACCUGUUGUCAACAAAAGGUGAUGGCCACACCAGGGAUGAUCGCAGAGAGAAGCAAUACCUGCAGUUUUACCAACAGAUAUGGAAAGAAUAUGAUAUAGACUCUGUCAUUGUUGCCAUCAGCAAGGAGCAACUGUACAUUUCUAUUAAGAUCUUUCAGCUAAUUUUAUUAUACAGGCAAUAUGCUCUAGUCAUAGGCCAUCAUUUGGAAGAUCAUGGCCUUGUGAUGGAAAUGAUACACCUUAUGUUGGAGUUGGGUUGUACAUGCACUCCAGGAAGUUGAAAAUGGUGGCUAUCCAUUUUCUAUUCUUGUUGCAACAUCAAAUGUAGCACUUUCCUCUUGCACUGCAAUCAUGUUUCAUGAAUCUAUCAAAGGCCUUGGUGAACAAACUGAUCCUUCAGCUGAAGUUGAUGACACAAUGUAUCAAGCAAAUGUGAGGCCAAGUUCAAGCACAGCCAUCCAUACCUCAACGGGGACCACUUCUCCCAGAGCACCGCUUCCCUCAAGAGCGGCAGCUUCUUCAUUACAGUGGCUGCGCCGUCUCCAAGCCUGCCCUCGCAAACCUUUUCCCGGAGACCAAAGCCUGCUGCAUCUCGCUAGAAUUGCCUUCGGUUACGCUUCAAAGCGUCUGCCCGACGGAGCUGCUGCUGUGCGCCGGCCUGUGCCCGGCCCGCGCGGGGCGGCCACGAGCCGAGCGAGCCGGCGUGCUCCCGAGCUCGGCAGAGACAAACGAAAGAGGCUGAAAGAAAAACUCGCAAAAUCUUUGUUGACCCUUCGUAGUGAGGAUGCUGGUGGGACCCCAUCUCUGGAUUUAGGAAAUAGCCUGCCUUUAGAAAAUAGUUACUCCUGAGCUUUCCAGACGCGGCUCAGGAUGAGGCGGGAGCCCCGUCCCGGCUUUGGGAAGCCCCCGAGGUCUGACCCGGCUCUUCGCUGGCGCUCCUGGCCUGCCGGCACACCGGCUCCCCGAGGCAGGGUUAUCGCCUGUUCGCGCGGCGCUUGGAUG
RNAcentral lists this long non-coding RNA (1051 nucleotides) under Apteryx owenii (little spotted kiwi). Its description in RNAcentral is "lncRNA (ENSAOWG00000017733.1)". The record is from RNAcentral. Lineage: Eukaryota; Metazoa; Chordata; Aves; Apterygiformes; Apterygidae.